UCAUUUCUCCUUUCCUUAGUUAGGUGACACAUGGAAAGUAAAAUUUGACUUUUAUGUUUUAACUUUCCAUAUUUACACUUUAACCCACUAAACUUUUUACCAUGUUUCAAUUUAGUUUUUUAAACUUUCAAUAAUCAUAGAUUGACCUACUAAAAUAUGCUUUUAUCCUUUAGAAGUCCUUUUCACUUAAGCAAGCAUGAUGAAUAUAAACAAGCACCUCAAGCAAGAACGUCGGAAAACCCUAAGCACCUUUCGAAAGUGACUCGUUCCCGACUCGCUAAUCACACUGUCUGCUUUAUUUCUGAAUACGUCUGUUUCUUUAUUUGAGUUUUCUAUGAUUCAGUUAUUAGCAGUUUAGAGUUAUGCUAGCACAUUCCCUAAGGCCACUUACUCUAGUAGUGAAAUAGCCUAGCCCUACCUAGGGAUGUCACUGCUCU
RNAcentral lists this long non-coding RNA (437 nucleotides) under Manihot esculenta (cassava). Its description in RNAcentral is "long non-coding RNA (MESC_LNC006319)". Lineage: Eukaryota; Viridiplantae; Streptophyta; Magnoliopsida; Malpighiales; Euphorbiaceae. The record is from RNAcentral.